UCGGGUGAAGGUGGCGGACGGGUGAGUAACGCGUAAAGAACUUGCCUUACAGACUGGGACAACAUUUGGAAACGAAUGCUAAUACCGGAUAUUAUGACUGAGUCGCAUGAUUUGGUUAUGGAAGCUAUAUGCGCUGUGAGAGAGCUUUGCGUCCCAUUAGUUAGUUGGUGAGGUAACGGCUCACCAAGACGAUGAUGGGUAGCCGGCCUGAGAGGGUGAACGGCCACAAGGGGACUGAGACACGGCCCUUACUCCUACGGGAGGCAGCAGUGGGGAAUAUUGGACAAUGGACCAAAAGUCUGAUCCAGCAAUUCUGUGUGCACGAUGAAGUUUUUCGGAAUGUAAAGUGCUUUCAGUUGGGAAGAAGUCAGUGACGGUACCAACAGAAGAAGCGACGGCUAAAUACGUGCCAGCAGCCGCGGUAAUACGUAUGUCGCAAGCGUUAUCCGGAUUUAUUGGGCGUAAAGCGCGUCUAGGCGGUUUAGUAAGUCUGAUGUGAAAAUGCGGGGCUCAACCCCGUAUUGCGUUGGAAACUGCUUAAACUAGAGUACUGGAGAGGUAGGCGGAACUACAAGUGUAAGGUGAAAUUCGUAGAUAUUUUGUAGGAAUGCCCGAUGGGGAAGCCAGCCUACUGGACAGAUACUGACGUCUAUAUAGCUGC
Molecule: ribosomal RNA, 661 nt
Filed under: uncultured Fusobacteriota bacterium
Lineage: Bacteria; Fusobacteriati; Fusobacteriota
Description: bacterial SSU rRNA
Rfam family: Bacterial small subunit ribosomal RNA
Source: RNAcentral